Molecule: RNA transcript, 1985 nt
Organism: Sapajus apella (tufted capuchin)
Lineage: Eukaryota; Metazoa; Chordata; Mammalia; Primates; Cebidae
Gene name: eukaryotic translation initiation factor 4B pseudogene
Exons: 1
Source: RefSeq, a predicted model, not a curated record
CUUAAAAAAAGAAUCGCUUUUUUCCCUCUCCCAACAUGGCGGCCUCAGCAAAAAAGAAGAAUAAGAAGGGGAAGACUAUCUCCCUUACAGACGUUCUGGCUGAGGAUGGGGGGACUGGUGGAGGAAGCACGUAUGUUUCCAAAGCAGUCAGCUGGGCUGAUGAAACAGAUGACCUGGAAGGAGAUGUUUCAACAACUUGGCACAGUAAUGAUGAUGAUGUGUAUAGGGUGCCUCCAAUUGACCGUUCCAUCCUUCCCACUGGUCCACGUGCUACUCGGGAACCCAAUAUCAACCGGAGCCGUCUUCCCAAAUCGCCACCCUACACUGCUUUUCUGGGGAACCUACCCUAUGAUGUGACAGAAGAGUCAAUUAAGGAAUUCUUCAGAGGAUUAAAUAUCAGUGCAGUGCCUUUACCACGUGAACCCAGCAAUCCAGAGAGGUUGAAAGGUUUUGGUUAUGCUGAAUUUGAGGACCUGGAUUCCCUGCUUAGUGCCCUGAGUCUCAAUGAAGAGUCUCUAGGUAACAGGAGAAUUUGAGUGGACAUUGCUGAUCAAGCACAGGAUAAAGACAGGGACGAUUGUUCUUUUGGCCGUGAUAGAAAUCGGGAUUCUGACAAAACAGAUGCAGACUGGAGGGCUCGUCCUGCCAUACAGCUUUGAUGACUAGAGGUGAUGAUAGCUUUGGAGACGAGUAUCGAGAUCGUUAUGAUUCAGACCGGUAUCGCGAUGGGUAUCGGCAUGGGUACCAGGAUGGCCCUCGCCGGGAUAUGGAUCGAUAUGGCGGCCGGGAUCGCUAUGAUGGCCCAGGCAGCAGAGACUAUGAUCGAGGCUAUGACUCCCGGAUAGGCAGUGGCAGAAGAGCAUUUGGCAGCGGAUACCGCAGGGAUGAUGACUACAGAGGAGGCGGGGACCGCCAUGAAGACCGAUAUGACAGAAGGGAUGAUCGGUCAUGGAGCUCCAGAGAUGAUUACUCUAGGGAUGAUUAUAGGCGUGACGAUAGAGGUCCGCCCCAAAGACCCAAACUGAAUCUAAAGCCUCGGAGUACUCCUAAGGAAGAUGAUUCCUCUGCUAGUACCCCCCAGUCCAGUCGAGCUGCUUCUGUCUUUGGAGGGGCAAAACCCGUUGACACAGCAGCUAGAGAAAGAGAAGUAGAAGAAUGCUACAGAAGGAACAAGAGAAGUUGCAGCGUCAGCUGGAUGAGCCCAAACUAGAAAGACGGGCUCGGGAGAGACACCCAAGCUGGCGGAGUGAAGAAACUCAGGAACGGGAAGGGUCGAGGACAGGAAGUGAGUCAUCGCAGACUGGGAUCUCCACCACAUCUGGCAGAAGUAAGUCAGAUCAGGAUGCAUGAUGGAGAGAGAGUGAGAAGGCUCUAGAAAAUGAAACAGUAAGGAGGAAGAUCGUCUCUCUCCAACUUCUAAACCUCCCAAACCUAAUCAGCCUCUAAAGGUAAUGCCAGCCCCUCCACCAAAGGAGAAUGCUGGGGUGAAGCGAAGUUCUAACCCUCCUGCUCGAUCUCAGAGCUCAGACACAGAGCAGCAAUCCCCUACAAGUGGUGGGGGAAAAGUAGCUCCAGCUCAACCAUCUGAGGAAACACCAGCCAGGAAAGAUGAAAAUAAAAUAGAUGGGAUGAAUAUCCCAAAAGGCCAAACUGGGAACUCUAGCCGUGGUCCAGGAGAUGGAGUGAACAAAGACCACUGGAAGGAGUCAGAUCGGAAAGAUGGCAAAAAGGAUCAAGACUCCAGAUCUGCACCUGAGCCAAAGAAAUCAGGAAAAUCCAGCUUCCAUGUUCAGUUCUGCAAGCAAGUAUGCUGCUCUCUCCAUUGAUGGUGAAGAUGAAAACGAGGGAGAAGAUUAUGCUGAAUAGACCUCAACAUCCUGUGCUUUCUCCUAAUUUCUCUCCAACCUGGAACAUUCGAGAGCAAAUCAAACCUCUAUCCAGACAAGACAAAAUAAAACUCACCAUCUCCUGGAAAAAAAAAAAAA